This 1967-nucleotide long non-coding RNA is filed under the name Mytilus galloprovincialis (Mediterranean mussel). The record is from RNAcentral. Lineage: Eukaryota; Metazoa; Mollusca; Bivalvia; Mytilida; Mytilidae.
AAUUAACUCAGGUGCUACGCACAUGAGUGAAUUAAUGUGUUGUUCGGUCACUCGUUGAAUAUUUUUCUCUAUUUGAAUUCUUCCAUUAGUUAUUCUAUAAAUAUUGUGAUUUAUUUUUAAAAAUAACUUCUUUCCAUUAUUACCAAAAUUUGAGGAAUGUUAAUUAUUAUGUUAGAAAAUUUAUAAAGUAAGUUUAGAUCUAGUAGGAGGUUGUGAAAUGAUAAUGAAAACUGCCAGUACAUGUAAUACCAAAAGGUUGUAAAAGAAUCAAGUACUGAGUUUUUUGUUGUUUAUAUUGCUUUGAAAUUCAAUUGUUAAUGAAUUGAAAUCAUUUAAGCAACAUGUGCAAAACACUGAAAAUGUAUGACUUAAAAGAUAAAACGGCCAAAAGCCAAUUGUUUCCUUGUCAUGACAUAUGUCUGUAACACAUAUGUAACUUGUCUGUUCUCCAUAAAUAUAAGGUAUGAAUGAUUAAUAGGAAUCUAUUUUAUUAUAGUGUCCUUAUAUUUAGUGAGCCAACACUUAUUGUAUUUUAAAUGCAAAUUUGAUGCCACAAAGCAAAUAUCUUGAUGUUAUAAUGUCAUAUAAAAAAACUUCACCAAAAUUACCCCCAGGCCAACCACAGCACUUCAUUCAUAAAACAGAAAUUAGAAACAUGUCUAUAUGCAUAUGGCCACUGUAAUUAUUAAAAAGACAAGUUAGAGUUGGUUGCAGAUGAGAGCAGAUGAAUGUUUUAGAUUACAUUAUUAUUAUCCCCUCUUUUGUAUAAUGUAAUAAAUUGUGUAUUCCCUGCUUAUGAUAGUAGGGGGACAUACUUUCUAAUCAGUGUGUCUGUCCUACAUCAGGUUACAGAUUUGGUUUUUGGGUAGUUAACCAUAAAUAUAUGGACACAUCAACUUGAAACUUAGUUCACAGUUGAAUUCAUUAGGAUGUGAACAUUUUUUAUAUAUAUUCCAAGUAAAGGUUUUGUCUCAGAUUUCAUGGUUCACUGAACAUGGAAAUUUUAUAAAGUUCAAGUUAAAAAUGGUGCACAGUGUAUUUUAUCUAUAUUAUUUUAACAAAAAAUUAGUCAGUUUAUAUUCUAAAAUUAUUUUCGGAAUCUUUUGCAUAAAUUGACUGUUCCGCAAGUUGGCAAGGAAGACUCAAAAAUUGUUUUUAAUGAAAUAUGUAUCAUUGAUUGAUAGAUUUUUAAAUAUAUAAUUUUAUUUACUUGUUGUGAUUAGAUGUCUCGUAUUGAUUCAGUUGGUGCUAUAUUGUAUUGUUUAUAGAGAUAUGAUGAAGAAAAGCAACAAUAAAAUGGGUAACAUCACAGGAAUUUUUAGUCAUAACAUGUAAGGGUAAAUUUUUAUAUCAUAGGUAGCUAUAUGAGAUUGGUCUUCAGGAUCGAUCAUUUAGUUUCAAGGGUGUGGGCAAUGGAGGGGUAUGGGUUUUUUGCCUUAGUCAGAAAUUAUAUUUUUAAGGAAAAAACCAUAAUUCCCCUGCAAGUUAAGGUGGUACCUAACACUACAGGGAGAUAACUCUGUAAAGUCAGCUAAACGUUUUAAUUACUUUGUGUUGUAAAAGGAAUAUUAAGCUUCUCAAUGAUCAAAAUUGGUUUUUGUUUAAUUACUAUAUAACCAGUGUAAUAUUUCUGACAAAACGGUUGGUUCAAAAUUUUCAAAAUUUUAUAUUUUGAUUAAAGGAAGAAAAGUAAAUACUUUGACAAAAUUUUAUGAAAAUUAAACGAGCCAAAUUAAUUUUAGUGAAAGUGUUGGGUACCACCUUAAAUGGUCGUUCUUUUAUAUUGUAUAAAGAAUAAUUUUAUUAUGAAAAUAAACUGUUAUUAACAAUUAACUAUCAGUCUUUUUAUAGAGAAGUACAUUAUGAUUUAAUGAUUUCUGUAUUUGUAUGCAUCAUUUAAAGAUCAUGAAUUAGUUAAUAAUGCAUUUUACUCUAUUGAUUUCUCCAUUCUGUUGAUCAUUGAAUAA